UAUUCAGUCGGUCGAAAAAAAAUACUAAAUGCCGUCCAAGAAAAAUAUAAUUUUAUACAUUCCUUGAGCUAUCGAUCACUCUCGAUAGACCACCGCGGCUUGUUUACAUUUGUUUACAAUCUGAAAAUAAGUUUUGAUCAGUGAUAAGUUAUGACUCAUAACUAAUGCUACAGCAAUAGCAGAUACUCCUCAAAUGUUCCACCUCUUGGAAUGAAGCGUCGUCGUGUAAUUAUACUCGAUUUUUGUAGAGUAAAAGUGUGUACUAAAUUCGUUGAAAGCUUAGACGGAUUUUGCUUGUUAGUCGAGUACGUUCCCGACGAGAGCUCUCUUUGUCCUUUCCUGUCCUUUAUCCCAGUCCUUUUUCAUAUCUUUGUCCUUCUCUUUAUCUUUCUCCUUUUCUUUAUCUUUAUCCUUGUCAAGAGAUCGCUAGUCUUCAAAGUACUCCUCACGAUAGAUCGAGUCCAGUGAUCGGUACCUUGGAUCCCCCUAGUGUGCCUCUCGAUGUCAUUGCGCUCCCGCAGCAUUUCAAGGAAGGCCUUUCUCAGCUGUAUAAAAAAUAUUUCCUUCAAGAGCCUUCUCCGCUCACGAUAACCGUCGUAGGCGUCACGAACUGAAAUGUAGAGGGCAUAAAGCAUUUUACUUUCAAUGUAUCUGCCCAGAAUUGC
Drosophila teissieri is the source of this 665-nucleotide long non-coding RNA. RefSeq lists it as uncharacterized. The record is from RefSeq and is a predicted model, not a curated record. The transcript has 4 exons. Lineage: Eukaryota; Metazoa; Arthropoda; Insecta; Diptera; Drosophilidae.